GUCCGCCAGAAAAUUACGAGCGAAAGCCUAAAACUCAAAAGACUUGACGGUGUCCCAACCUCCCUAGAGGAGCCUGUUCCAUAAUCGACAACCCCCGAUACACCUAACCACCCUUAGAACUACCAUCAGCCUAUAUACCGCCGUCGUACAGCCUACCUUUUAAAAGUAUACAAGUAGGCUAAAUAGUAAUAUACUAAUAAGUCAGGUCAAGGUGUAGCUUAUAGGGUGGAGGAAAUGGGCUACAUUGCUUAUAUUAAACCAUACGAACUUAUUCUAUACCUGAAAAAGAAAAUGAAGGCGGAUUUAGCAGUAAUUUAAACAAGAAUAUUUAAAUUAA
This 337-nucleotide ribosomal RNA is filed under the name Proctoporus sp. 1 OTC-2016. RNAcentral's name for it is "partial 12S ribosomal RNA". It matches the Rfam family "Bacterial small subunit ribosomal RNA", at positions 867 to 1366 of the family's 1533-position model. Lineage: Eukaryota; Metazoa; Chordata; Lepidosauria; Squamata; Gymnophthalmidae. The record is from RNAcentral.